UACCCGCGGCUAGACGGAAAGACCCCGUGAACCUUUACUACAGCUUGGCACUGAACAUUGAACCUACAUGUGUAGGAUAGGUGGGAGGCUAUGAAGACGUGACGCCAGUUGCGUUGGAGCCGUCCUUGAAAUACCACCCUUGUAUGUUUGAUGUUCUAACUUAGACCCGUUAUCCGGGUUGAGGACAGUGCCUGGUGGGUAGUUUGACUGGGGCGGUCUCCUCCCAAAGAGUAACGGAGGAGCACGAAGGUGGGCUAAUCACGGUUGGA
RNAcentral lists this ribosomal RNA (269 nucleotides) under Vibrio cholerae. RNAcentral describes it as "partial 23S ribosomal RNA". It matches the Rfam family "Bacterial large subunit ribosomal RNA", at positions 2067 to 2335 of the family's 2925-position model. Lineage: Bacteria; Pseudomonadati; Pseudomonadota; Gammaproteobacteria; Vibrionales; Vibrionaceae. The record is from RNAcentral.